GGGGCUGUAGCUCAGUGGUAGAGCGUCCGCUUUGCAUGCGGAAGGCCCGGGGUUCGAACCCCCGCAGCUCCA
Non-coding RNA from Trichuris suis (pig whipworm), 72 nucleotides. The record is from Rfam. NCBI's taxonomy places the organism in Eukaryota, Metazoa, Nematoda, Enoplea, Trichinellida, Trichuridae.